AGGGAUGAGGGUCCGUUCGGGGAGUACAAUUCGGGAGACGGGGGAGUAACACGUAGGAUAACCUGCCCUCGAGACGGGGACAACCGGUGGAAACGGCGGCUAAUACCCGAUAUGCUCACAGGAUCGGGAGAUCGAGUGAGGAAAGGCUUCGGUGCUUGAGGAGGGAUCUGCGGCCCAUCAGCUAGUUGGUGAGGUAACGGCUCACCAAGGCGAAGACGGGUAGGGGGUGUGAGAGCAUGGCCCCCCACAAUGGGACUGAGACACGGCCCAUACUCCUACGGUACGCAGCAGCGGGGAAUAUUGCGCAAUGGACGGAAGUCAAACGCAGCGACGCCUCGUGGGUGACGAAGGCCUUCGGGUUGUAAAGCCCUUUUCAGGGGAGCGAGAAAGGACGGUACUCUUGGAAGAACCGCCGGAUAACUACAUGCCAGCAAAAAAAAUGAGACGUAGGACGCAACAGUUAUCCGGAUUUACUGGGCGUAUAGCUCCUGUAGGCGGUCAAGUAAGUCCGAUGUGAAAGCCGCGUGCUCAACGCUGGGAAGCCAUUCGAUACUGCGUGACUAGAGAACGGCUGAGGGAAAACGGAAUUUUCUGGUGUAGCGGUAAAAUGCGCAGAGAUCAGAAAGAACAGCGAUGGCUAAGCAGUUUCCUAGGGCCGCAUCUGACGCUGAGAGGCGAAAGCUGGGGAACAAACGGAUUAGUAACCCCUGGUAGU
This 715-nucleotide ribosomal RNA is filed under the name uncultured organism. RNAcentral describes it as "bacterial SSU rRNA". It matches the Rfam family "Bacterial small subunit ribosomal RNA", at positions 64 to 794 of the family's 1533-position model. The record is from RNAcentral.